Ornithodoros turicata is the source of this 403-nucleotide long non-coding RNA. RefSeq lists it as uncharacterized. The transcript has 3 exons. Lineage: Eukaryota; Metazoa; Arthropoda; Arachnida; Ixodida; Argasidae. The record is from RefSeq and is a predicted model, not a curated record.
GGUAUAUAUAGUCUGUUUAACCAAAUUUUUGCCAAAUAUAUACAAUACUUCUGGUUUCGCUUACUAACUUCUAGUUUUCUGACACAGAAAGUUCCAUAUGAGAGACGUUUCUGAAGAUCAGGAGUAGAGAUCACAAAACGAAAAACUUGGUGUCAGUAACAUGUCUUGAGGAGCUAAUCAGAGUUGCUGUGGGUCAUCGAAUUUGUCAGGAAGGCGACAUACAGGUGUAUUUAGUGGAUGAGUUAUCACUUCGCUGUAUGGUUGCUGGUGCUGAGAAAUGCCUCGAUGACAUUUUCAUUGUUAAAAAUGGACUAUGGAAACAAGGUAUAGUGCAUACAUCUCCAGAUGCCACUUUGCCCUCUUGCUUGGGGCUUUAAGUGCCAUUUUUUGUUUUGCUUUCCUG